This 26-nucleotide non-coding RNA is filed under the name Mus musculus (house mouse). The record is from RNAcentral. Lineage: Eukaryota; Metazoa; Chordata; Mammalia; Rodentia; Muridae.
UGAUCCGGAUGGAACCAUGGGUGAGC